UCUCUGUAUCUUUCUCCAAUGUUCGUGGCGCCUUGACUCCGUUCCCCGCAUCAACAUUCCAUUUCCGGCCUUAAAACUACUGCUACCGGACAAUACCAACAGUGUUCAUUGUUAAAUCGUUUUUUGAUCGUAAGAAACUCAGAUAAAAAUGAAAAAGAAAGAGAAAAAUAAAUGGAGAAGAUGAUGAAUAUUUAAUCAUUGUCUGAGGAGGAAAUGUUACUUUCCUGUUUUGCACUUGGUCCCGUGAGUGACAGCCGAAAGUGGCGAGAACCAGAAGAGAUUCCAUUUCCGCCGUGGUGCGUGAGCGUCUGUGACUCAGACUGAAACAUCUCUCUCUCUCUCUCUCUCUUUUGUUUCUUUGUUUGCUUUCUCUCUAAUUUUUUUUAAUUACUCCUUUCAGCAGAUUCUUUUCCUCCCUUUGUCCUGUGCAGUUUUUGGCCGGAGUUCAAGUUUCACGGCCGUUUGGUCGCUGCGAAAAUGCCGGGAAAACGAGUUAUUAUAGCAUUGUAAUCGCCGUUGCAUGUUUCAUCAGAUUUGUUUAUCAUUUGGUAUGCUUCCUUUUUUCCCGCUUCUCUCUUCCUUUAUAUUUUGUCGUUUUGGCCGUUAAUUCUCCCAAACGAAACCGCCAUUGAUUGGCUG
This 639-nucleotide long non-coding RNA is filed under the name Linum usitatissimum (flax). RNAcentral describes it as "long non-coding RNA (LUSI_LNC004716)". The record is from RNAcentral. Lineage: Eukaryota; Viridiplantae; Streptophyta; Magnoliopsida; Malpighiales; Linaceae.